This 107-nucleotide small nuclear RNA is filed under the name Moschus moschiferus (Siberian musk deer). Lineage: Eukaryota; Metazoa; Chordata; Mammalia; Artiodactyla; Moschidae. The record is from RNAcentral.
GUGCUCACUUCAGCAGCAUAUAUGCUAAAAUUGGAAUGAUACAGAGAAGAUCAGCAUGGCCCCUAUACAAGGAUGACACACAAAUUGGUGAAGUGUUCUGUAUUUUC